CGGGAAGACAACUAGGCUUGUGAAAUCUCAUGCCUGACAGCACAAUUUUGCAUGACACUUCUGACCUGCAUGUCAAGAGAAAACGCAAGAUUGAAGAAGCCCAUGGGUUAACAAGAUUGAUGAGCAGUGUCCACCAUCCUUUCACUACAUACCUCAUAGCCUCGCUUUCUCUAGUGCUUCUAUCAAUUUCUCCCUUUCUGAGAUCGGAAAUGAGAAUUGCUGUUCAAAUUGUUAUGGUGACUGCCUGCCUUGUCCAGUACCCUGUGCUUGUGCAUGUGCAAAUGGGGGUGAGUUUAUAUACACUGUGAAAGGUCUUGUAAAGGAAGCUUUUUUGUUGAAGUGUAUUUCUGUCAAUCGCGACCCUAAAAAGAGCCACCACUUAUAUUGUUGGGAAUGCCCUCUAGAAAAGUCAAAAGAUAACAACAUUUUAGAACCGUAUACGGGCCACCUGAA
Long non-coding RNA from Eucalyptus grandis, 453 nucleotides. RefSeq lists it as uncharacterized. The transcript is spliced from 2 exons. The record is from RefSeq and is a predicted model, not a curated record. NCBI's taxonomy places the organism in Eukaryota, Viridiplantae, Streptophyta, Magnoliopsida, Myrtales, Myrtaceae.